Molecule: ribosomal RNA, 253 nt
Filed under: uncultured bacterium
Lineage: Bacteria
Description: partial 16S ribosomal RNA
Rfam family: Bacterial small subunit ribosomal RNA
Source: RNAcentral
UACAGAGGGGGCAAGCGUUGUUCGGAAUUACUGGGCGUAAAGGGCGCGUAGGCGGCCAACUAAGUCAGACGUGAAAUCCCAUGGCUCAACCAUGGAACUGCGUCUGAUACUGGAUGGCUUGAGUUCGGGAGAGGGAAGUGGAAUUCCAGGUGUAGCGGUGAAAUGCGUAGAUAUCUGGAGGAACACCGGUGGCGAAGGCGGCUUCCUGGACCGACACUGACGCUGAGGCGCGAAAGCCAGGGGAGCAAACGGG